CCUGAGGCUCCAGCUGCUCUAGACCCACUACCCUGUGCCUGCCCUUGAGGCCAAGCAAUCGCACUAUGGAACUCGUCCAUAGUCCACUUGUGCACUGGUGGCUGAUCAUAUAGUCCUACAAUCAUCUCGGCAGUGGCCACCUGCCCUCUACGAAGGGACUUCAUCCUUGUCUCCAUCAUGGACAUAUAGAUGUCCCUCAUCUGGAAAGGCUCAGGCUACGGUGCCGGUGCAUCUGUAGGCUCAUCCUCCUGUUGUGCUGCCCUCCUAGGACGUCUCCUAGGAACUGCUUCAGCCGGCUCAUCACCUCCACAGUAUUGACGAUAAUAGGAGGCAUCAAUAGCUCUCCUCGGC
RNAcentral lists this long non-coding RNA (351 nucleotides) under Vigna radiata. RNAcentral describes it as "long non-coding RNA (VRAD_LNC008713)". The record is from RNAcentral. Lineage: Eukaryota; Viridiplantae; Streptophyta; Magnoliopsida; Fabales; Fabaceae.